This 415-nucleotide ribosomal RNA is filed under the name uncultured bacterium. RNAcentral describes it as "bacterial SSU rRNA". It matches the Rfam family "Bacterial small subunit ribosomal RNA", at positions 355 to 786 of the family's 1533-position model. The record is from RNAcentral.
UCGGGAAUAUUGCGCAAUGGAGGAAACUCUGACGCAGUGACGCCGCGUAUAGGAAGAAGGUUUUCGGAUUGUAAACUAUUGUCGUUAGGGAAGAGAAAGGACAGUACCUAAGGAGGAAGCUCCGGCUAACUACGUGCCAGCAGCCGCGGUAAUACGUAGGGAGCGAGCGUUAUCCGGAAUUAUUGGGUGUAAAGGGUGCGUAGACGGGAGAGCAAGUUAGUUGUGAAAUCCCUCGGCUUAACUGAGGAACUGCAACUAAAACUACUUUUCUUGAGUGCAGGAGAGGUAAGUGGAAUUCCUAGUGUAGCGGUGAAAUGCGUAGAUAUUAGGAGGAACACCAGUGGCGAAGGCGACUUACUGGACUGUAACUGACGUUGAGGCACGAAAGUGUGGGGAGCAAACAGGAUUAGAUACC